This 460-nucleotide ribosomal RNA is filed under the name uncultured bacterium. RNAcentral describes it as "partial 16S ribosomal RNA". It matches the Rfam family "Bacterial small subunit ribosomal RNA", at positions 338 to 795 of the family's 1533-position model. The record is from RNAcentral.
CCUACGGGUGGCAGCAGUGAGGAAUAUUGGUCAAUGGACGGAAGUCUGAACCAGCCAUGCCGCGUGCAGGAAGACGGCUCUAUGAGUUGUAACCUGCUUUUGUACAAGGGUAAACCUGACUACUUGUAUUCAGCUGAAAUUACUGUACGAAUAAGGAUCGGCUAACUCCGUGCCAGCAGCCGCGGUCAUACUGAUGAUCCACGCGUUAUCCGGAUUUAUUGGGGUUAAAGGGUGCGUAGGCGGAUUGAUAAGUUAGAGGUGAAAUGUCCGGGCUUAACUCGGGAACUGCCUUUAAGACUGUUUAUCUAGAGAGUAGAUGCGGUAGGCGGAAUGUAUGGUGUAGCGGUGAAAUGCUUAGAGAUCAUACAGAACACCGAUUGCGAAGGCAGCUUACCAAUCUAUAUCUGACGUUGAGGCACGAAAGCGUGGGGAGCAAACAGGAUUAGAUACCCUAGUAGUC